AAGAUUUGGUGACUCACUAAGUUGUAUCUCGAUGUCUUCGUCCUGCGAUCUCGUCACACGGUGGUGUUCUGUAGUUGGUUUGAGUUCCCCAAAGAUUCCAAUCUUAAAAGGGUUUGAGUUUCAAUCCAUAGUAUCAUUUCAAUUUCGUUGGUUUGGGUUUGGAUAUUGAAAGGGUUUUUGUGUUAUUUAUUUCUAAUUUUGAUCGCAUAUAGUUACGAAUUGCUCGAAGCUGUUUUAGAGAUAGAGAGAUUUGAUGUGAUGGAAACAUGUGUCAAAUUCGGACCAGGAGUUCCUGGGUUACAAUUUGGUAUACGAUUUGGAGUUGGUUGUGGAAUUGGUGUAGGUUUUGGCGAUAGUGUGGGAAGAGGAGCUGCUUAUGAUCACUCUCGUUCUUAUUGUAACAUUGGGAAGCCAUCUUUCAUGAGAACAUAAACAAAUCUUAAUUUCCUUGUGUAAGGUUUUUCUCGACAGUAGCCAUAGUGGCGCCACCAUGGAGGAUACAUAAUGAUGACACAACAACUAACAACAAAUGAUGUUGAUGAUACAAUUUGUGGUUUUGUUUCAUCAUUUGUGGUUUAAGAAUCAGACAAAUAAUUUUAUCAAAGUUGUUAUCAUUAAAUUUAAUAUCAU
Camelina sativa (false flax) is the source of this 630-nucleotide non-coding RNA. NCBI's taxonomy places the organism in Eukaryota, Viridiplantae, Streptophyta, Magnoliopsida, Brassicales, Brassicaceae. The record is from RefSeq and is a predicted model, not a curated record.